UAGGGAAUCUUCGGCAAUGGACGGAAGUCUGACCGAGCAACGCCGCGUGAGUGAAGAAGGUUUUCGGAUCGUAAAGCUCUGUUGUAAGAGAAGAACGAGUGUGAGAGUGGAAAGUUCACACUGUGACGGUAUCUUACCAGAAAGGGACGGCUAACUACGUGCCAGCAGCCGCGGUAAUACGUAGGUCCCGAGCGUUAUCCGGAUUUAUUGGGCGUAAAGCGAGCGCAGGCGGUUAGAUAAGUCUGGAGUUAAAGGCUGUGGCUUAACCAUAGUACGCUUUGGAAACUGUUUAACUUGAGUGCAAGAGGGGAGAGUGGAAUUCCAUGUGUAGCGGUGAAAUGCGUAGAUAUAUGGAGGAACACCGGUGGCGAAAGCGGCUCUCUGGCUUGUAACUGACGCUGAGGCUCGAAAGCGUGGGGAGCAAACAGGAUUAGAUACCCUGGUAGUCCACGCCGUAAACGAUGAGUGCUAGGUGUUAGACCCUUUCCGGGGUUUAGUGCCGUAGCUAACGCAUUAAGCACUCCGCCUGGGGAGUACGACCGCAAGGUU
RNAcentral lists this ribosomal RNA (549 nucleotides) under uncultured bacterium. RNAcentral's name for it is "bacterial SSU rRNA". It matches the Rfam family "Bacterial small subunit ribosomal RNA", at positions 355 to 895 of the family's 1533-position model. The record is from RNAcentral.